This 547-nucleotide ribosomal RNA is filed under the name Dialister sp. oral clone 9N-1. RNAcentral's name for it is "bacterial SSU rRNA". It matches the Rfam family "Bacterial small subunit ribosomal RNA", at positions 8 to 521 of the family's 1533-position model. The record is from RNAcentral. Lineage: Bacteria; Bacillati; Bacillota; Negativicutes; Veillonellales; Veillonellaceae.
AGAGUUUGAUCCUGGCUCAGGACGAACGCUGGCGGCGUGCUUAACACAUGCAAGUCGAACGAAAAGACGGAAAGAGCUUGCUCUUUUCAGAAUUGAGUGGCAAACGGGUGAGUAACACGUAAACAACCUGCCUUCAGGAUGGGGACAACAGACGGAAACGACUGCUAAUACCGAAUAAGUUCCAAGGGCCGCAUGGCCCAUGGAAGAAAAGGUGGCCUCUACCUGUAAGCUAUCGCCUGAAGAGGGGUUUGCGUCUGAUUAGCUGGUUGGAGGGGUAACGGCCCACCAAGGCGACGAUCAGUAGCCGGUCUGAGAGGAUGAACGGCCACACUGGAACUGAGACACGGUCCAGACUCCUACGGGAGGCAGCAGUGGGGAAUCUUCCGCAAUGGGCGAAAGCCUGACGGAGCAACGCCGCGUGAGUGAUGACGGCCUUCGGGUUGUAAAACUCUGUGAUCCGGGACGAAAAGGCAGAGUGCGAAGAACAAACUGCAUUGACGGUACCGGAAAAGCAAGCCACGGCUAACUACGUGCCAGCAGCCGCGGU